Molecule: long non-coding RNA, 2091 nt
Filed under: Sus scrofa (pig)
Lineage: Eukaryota; Metazoa; Chordata; Mammalia; Artiodactyla; Suidae
Description: lncRNA (ENSSSCG00005001856.1)
Source: RNAcentral
UUUUUUUGCUUUUUAGGGGUGCACCCACGGCAUAUGGAAGUUCCCAGGCGAGGGAUCAAAAUGGAACUGCGGCUGCCGGCCACAGCCACAGCAACACCAGAUCUGAGCUGCGUCUGCGACCUACAGCACAGCUCACAGCAAUGCUGGAUCCUUUUUUUUUUUUUUUAAUUUUUUUGUCUUUGGUCUGUUUAGGGCCGCACCUGCAGCAUAUGGAGGUUCCCAGGCUAGGGUUCGAAUCGGAGCUAUAGCUGCCAGCCUAUGCCACAGCCACAGCCAUGCGGGAGCCAAGCCACAUCUGCAACCUACACCACAGCUCACAGCAACUCUGGAUCCUUAACCCACUGACCUGGAAACUUCCACAUGCUGCAGGUGCAGCCCUAAAAAGAAAAAUAUAUAUAUAUUGGAUAUAAGUCCCUGUGCUAUGCAAUAUGUCCUUGUUAUUUGCCUUAUUUUAUACAUAGUACUUUGUACCCCUUAAUGUCCUCCCCAUAUCCUGGCCCUCCCCUCUCUCUCUCCCCACUGGUCACCACGAGUUGGUUCUCUAGAUCUGUAAGUCUGUUUCUGUUUUGGUAAUAUUCACGAGUUUAUUUCAUUUUUUAGAUUUCGCAUACAAAUGAUAUCAUAUAGUAUUUGCCUUUCUCUGUCUGGCUUCUUUCACUAAGUCUGAAGCCCUCCAAGUCCAGCCAGGUCGCUGCAAAUGGCAUGAUUUCAUUCUUCUUCGUGGCUGCGUAGUAUUCCCCUGUGUCUAUGGACCACAUCUUCUUUAUCGAUUCCUCUGUCAGUGGACAUGUAGGUGGUUUCCCCGUCUUGGCUGUUGUGCACAGUGCUGCUAGGAACCCCGGGGUGCAAGUAUCUUUUCAAGCCAGUGGUUUUGAUUUCUUCAGAUAAACGCCCAGGGGUGGGACUGCUGGCUCACAUGGCAGCUCUAUCUUUAAUUUUCCGAGGAACCUCCAUCCUGUUCUCCACAGCGGCUGCACCAAUUGACGUUCCACCCCCAGUGUAGGAGGGUUCCCUUUUUUCCACGUCCUCACCAAUAUUUAUUAUUGAGUCCAUUUUAUCGUCACAUCUGUUUGUGCUCAUCCCCAGAGCGUCCUAAUUUACCUGCUGCCAUGCUUUGGUCUGUACUGACGCAGGCGACAUCAGCAUCAGAGUUACUCGCAGGUUUUUCGCAGUAGCUCUGAGUCACACAAAGCACGGGGUUUGAAAUAGAGGUUGAGUUCUUUUUUCCAUGGAAAAACCGCCUCUGGUGGUUUCGCUGUCCCCGUCCUCUGCCCUGGAUGCCGGUUCUGCAGCUCAGGCAGCGCGUUUAAUCCUCAGCAGCCACAGGGCUUCGUCCCUCUCACCCUCCCCCGCGGUCCCCCUUUAUAAAAGCAUUUCGUGAUGGAGGAUGCACCCUCAUUCUGUCCGACAGCUGCUCCGCGUUUAUAGAGCAAAUGAGGUUAAUUGCCUCUUGAGUAAUAAACCAAAACAGGUUUUGGUGCCAGAGGAGGAGAACAAGGACGAAGGAGAGAAUUUUCAUUUGCACUGUAUGCAUUUGGUCGCAGGGCCCUGGGGGUCCAGGCCAGCGUUUUGUGGGUGGGGGUGGGGGUGGUGGGUGCAUGUUUACGGCACCCUGUGUGCACGGCCUCAGGGUGGAUCCCACACCACCCGCGCUGUCCACACAUACUGUCUUUGUCCUGGAGAGACACCCGUGGGUGAGCAGACAGGUGGCUCCCAAACCCUACGGUGUAGGGUUGCCUGGAGGGAUUGUGGUUGUAGAGGUUGGGGGGGCAUCACCCUCAGAGUUUCUCCCUCCGUAGGUCUGGGGUGAGGGGAGCCCAGGAGGGACCAUUUCUAAGAAGGUUCUGGAAAAUGCAGACACUGCCAGUCCGGGGAGCAGGCAGUGGGAGCCGUCAGAUGAGACUACACCCCCACGACAUGCAGCUGCCGCUUUCACAGACACUAGCCGACCCCCAACCGGUGUUUGCACGGGAUCUGGGGUAGAAAGGUCCACGUUCUCUAUCCCCCUCCAAACCCCCACUGAAGAACACAACCACCCUCUCUUCCCACUCAGCUUUCUUUGUUCUUUGUCUGUUUAGGGCUGCACCUGCG